CAAACGUGAAGAUUUCAAGCGGAUUAAUUCAUCCAGCAGGUGCAGAGCAAAACACCGUCCAUCUAGAAGACAUCCAGACCAACUAGACAGAGGCAUAAUCCUGUCCUGAUUAUCAACCUGGCUGGAAUCUGAAGGAGUAAUUCUUACAUGGACUCUAUUCCUCUCCAACCACCAUGUCAGAGAUGGAAUUACAUACCAUGGUACAGUGCAUGAAGCCAGACCUGUCCUGAAGGGAGUAUAUCACAUCAUGUCCGCUGAACCCUCUGUGCCCGACAGUACUGAAAACAACAAGCAAGAUCACAAAAGCAACUUAUUCUGGGUAGACUAAUGGAAAAUAAACACUAGAAGCACCCUGCACCACUCUGCAUUCUUCCAAAAGCAUCAAGACCUUAAAAG
Molecule: non-coding RNA, 396 nt
Organism: Caretta caretta (loggerhead turtle)
Lineage: Eukaryota; Metazoa; Chordata; Testudines; Cheloniidae
Source: RefSeq, a predicted model, not a curated record